AUCAUGAUAUCAUGGUUAGGUUUGCUUGUUUAGCCAAAAAUGAAAGGACAACUUACUGAAGAAUACUCGAUUUCGAUUUUUUUUUCUUGCGCCAAAUUAAGGAAUAUAAUUUCCCUGUGAAUAUAUAGAGAAAGACCUACAUUCUUGUGCUUAUAAUCAACAUUUUUGGCGUUACUUCUCGUUGGGUUUUCUUUCUUUUCAUAUCACAUUUCCC
This 214-nucleotide long non-coding RNA is filed under the name Populus trichocarpa (black cottonwood). RNAcentral's name for it is "long non-coding RNA (PTRI_LNC002754)". The record is from RNAcentral. Lineage: Eukaryota; Viridiplantae; Streptophyta; Magnoliopsida; Malpighiales; Salicaceae.